CCUGGCUCAGAACGAACGACUGGCGGCGUGCCUAACACAUGCAAGUCGAACGCGAAAAGCAGUAAUGCUGAGUAGAGUGGCGCACGGGUGAGUAACACGUAACUGACAUGUCCUAGAGACAAGGAUAACCAUUCGAAAGGAUGGCUAAUACUUGGUAAGCCCACGGCCUUGGGUUGUGGGAAAAGGGUCGGGACCUUUCGAGGCCGAUCGCUUUGGGAGUGGGUUGCGGCCCAUCAGGUAGUUGGCGGGGUAACGGCCCACCAAGCCUAAGACGGGUAGCUGGUCUGAGAGGAUGAUCAGCCACACUGGAACUGAGACACGGUCCAGACUCCUACGGGAGGCAGCAGUGGGGAAUCUUGCGCAAUGGGAGAAAUCCUGACGCAGCAACGCCGCGUGGGUGAUGAAGGUCUUCGGAUCGUAAAGCCCUGUCGGAGGGGAAGAUGCUUUCUGUCGCUAAUAUCGGCAGGAGGUGACGGUACCCUCAAAGGAAGCACCGGCUAACUCUGUGCCAGCAGCCGCGGUAA
Molecule: ribosomal RNA, 524 nt
Filed under: uncultured delta proteobacterium
Lineage: Bacteria; Deltaproteobacteria
Description: bacterial SSU rRNA
Rfam family: Bacterial small subunit ribosomal RNA
Source: RNAcentral